This 972-nucleotide long non-coding RNA is filed under the name Anas platyrhynchos platyrhynchos (common mallard). RNAcentral's name for it is "lncRNA (ENSAPLG00000017403.1)". Lineage: Eukaryota; Metazoa; Chordata; Aves; Anseriformes; Anatidae. The record is from RNAcentral.
GGUAACCAAAAAUAACUGAGAUGGAAAAACAUCAGAGGCUGUGUCAAAUAAUCUCAGGACAAGGAAUUGGAGCUGCAAAUUCUGUGAAUUUCUGUGUACAAAAGUUGCCUCAAAUGUAGCAUUUUCUGGGAGAAGAUAUCCGGUUGCAGGGCCAGCUCCAAAUCUGAACUGCGUUGCAGCCCAGUCUGCUUCUUUUCUUUUCUAUUAAAAACGGAGCUGCUGUUGCUGUAUUUCCUUGGUCCUUGUGGAGUAUGUGACUCUCAUCGGAGACCCAAGGUUGGUAAUAAUCACAAUAUCCCAUAUAUUUAUUUAAUCUCUUCCUGUAAUUCUUCAACUCUCUCUCUCCUCUCUCCGCUUCUGUUAACUUACUUCUUCAAAUGUUUUUUAAGAACAUGAAGAAAAAACCAAACAGCUCUGUUUAAUACAAUUUGCUGUAUUUUUUUCAACAAUAACAACAUAAAUUAAAAUGUGGAGUGAAUAGGUUCAAAAGAAAACAAAUCCAUAUUGUGUACUGCACAAGAGAGUACAGGAAGGCUUCUCAGCACAAUGCAUUGAGUACUGCACAAGGACAGUGCAGGCAGGCUUUUCAGGCAUCUCCCAUUUUGCUGCUUAAGUAAUUGAGCUUUGUCUUGAAAUGUGUCUGCAUUUCUCCUCCUGAACUUGCCUGGAGCCAGUUCUGCUGAUCGUAUCAGUGAGAAUAGAGGGCUGUAAUUGACCCAGUCACUACCCAGCCUCCCCCCCAUACAGUUUUUGCUAGUUUGAAAUGCCAGGUUUGUUGUUGCACUGAGAUGUCGUUGUAGGAGAGGCGCUGGUUCACGAGCUGUCCUUGUGUGGGUGGGAUGGGGGCACAGGGCAGCCUGGGGAGUCCAUCCUCCCCCACGAGACAUCUGGGAAUCACACAGGUGGGAACUCAUGGAGGGCGUGCAGAGGCAGGUGUGGAGCAGGGCUUACCAGCUGGGUGGAAAGGGUCAG